This 2865-nucleotide long non-coding RNA is filed under the name Olea europaea (common olive). RNAcentral describes it as "long non-coding RNA (OEUR_LNC010613)". The record is from RNAcentral. Lineage: Eukaryota; Viridiplantae; Streptophyta; Magnoliopsida; Lamiales; Oleaceae.
UUUACAGAAACAAAAUCAGCAAUCCUUUACAGAGUUUUCAUUCACCCCAAAAAUGUUAUACCCUCCUCAUUAGCUUUUAAGAUCCAUGAAGUUAUGAAGGUGAGAGCAUAGGCCAGCCAACAAGUUUAGGUGACCCGGAUGGGGUUGAAGGCUGACUAGGAGUAAAUAGGCUCACAUCCACAAAUGCCCCAGAGGUUUCAUCUUUUACCAUCGUACGAAAAGAUAUCGAUCCACUCCUUUCCAAAGAAGCUGAAUUUCUCCCAGGACUAGUGAGCAUACUUGUUCUGGAAGGGCCUUCAUUAUGAAUUAGUGAAUCAUAUUCAUCAAUAAACCUCAUAGCCUCUAUAUCUCUUUGUAGACUCCUCAAGACUAAAGAAUCUGCAAUGGGGAGGUACACGAGCAUGCAGAUGGCCACCACCGCACAACAUAAAAAGGAAAGAAAAGCUAAGAAUGAAAUAGCAUCAAAUAAAAGUUUAUCCGGCUCUGAUAGCACAGAUAAUCCAAGAAGAAGAACUCGUAAUGGGAAAAAACCAGAAAUAGAAAAGAUUAGUGUAUACACUCUCUUUUGUAAACCCUUAUUGAUGACCAAAUGAAGAAUUUGUCUCCCAAGCCAGAACAAGUAAGUUGUUAGGAGGGUGGCAAAAAGACCAAGGACAACGGUACUCAACAGAGGGUAAGUGCAGAGGGCAACAUUAUCAUUGUCCUUUGUUUUAGAAAAAGCUGAAGCCUUGGUGAAAUAAGGAGGUAAUCUGUGCACAAAACUCUCCUUGUUAUGCCAUGUUCCAAUUAGAAUUACAAUCACCUGAAGAACAAAUAUUGGGAGACAAUAAAGAAGCACAUAAGCAGCUGUUUUUGCAUUCCACCUCCGGCUUAAUGUUCCAGACUUCUGCAAGGUUGCACGAAGUAGAAAUAUGAGAAUGAGGAUCAGGCAUGGUUCGGCAAACCCGAGAUUUGAAACAACAUAGCAUUUGCAAACAGUUUUCUGACGUUUCAAGUUGAGGGAAUUCAGGACUCUUCCCUCCCCUCUCAACAGAUUUAACCGAAUAAUCUCUCCAAAACCCCACCAAACCGCAAAAAAGAUGAAUGUAAUUCUGAUAAUCCAAGGACCACUAAAGUAGUUGAGCCGAACAAGACCUUGACCAUGGAUCCGAUCAUGGAAGUAAAACGAAUACACGAUGCAGAAUAUACCCAGAAGGACCAGAACAACAACAAGACAAAUCGUCACCACACCAAGUGCAUCAGCAAGAAAUCUAGACAGGGGCAUUACCCAAUUCACAGAUUCUACGCAUACUAUCCGCCAGCGUGGACACAAGAAAUUUAUCUAUUGAAUAAAGGAUCCCACCUCAAUGCUCGAUAGCAAGAAGAGCUAAUUCGAAAAAUAUUAAGGCCCUCCUGUUGGUCCAAAAUAAUUAUACACGAAAACUCAAGAUCAUAUUAGAUACUACUCGAGCAAGGAUCAGGAGAAAGCAACAGGAGAGCUAUCUUAUUUUCCAACCUUGGGAGCUUUCAGCCAUCAUCAAUAAAGAGAUUCUUACACUAGCAACCAUCUUAAAGUUUCCUUUAUCAAGAACAUGAACUUUUAGCCGAGUGGAAACUCUAAACUGACAACUUUUGCAAAUUCAGUCAUCCUUGAGAGCUUUCAGUUAUCAUCGAUAAAGAGAAAUCCUCGCACUUUCAACUAUCUAAAAGUUUCCUUUAUCAAGAUUGUGAACUUUUUAGCCCAGUGGAAACUCUAAACUGACAACUUUUGCAAACUCAGACAUCCUUGCUCUUUGCGAACAUAAAAAAAUAUAAGGUCAAAAGCAUAGAACUGUUAUAACAAGACCAGAGAGAUGCACCAUAAAAAAUUCAGUAAAUAAAACUAAACUGUCUUACAAUCAACCAAAAAGUUGUAGAAAAAUAACGAAAUUCUGAAAUGAUAAAUUAAUAGAAACAAAGCAACGUAAAAUGCCAACCAAGUGAAUCACCUUGAAAAGCAGCCCAACAGAAAUUAUCCAGAAAAUUUAACAGGUUAAAAAAUAUAGUAGGCCAAGGGACAAAUAUUAAAGAGAGAAGACAGCAAAUAUCUAAUAUCCAGUUUCAGCAUUAAAUGUCAAAGAGAAACCAUGCACAAAAACCUCUGGGGCUCAAGUGGAAACCAUGCACUUCAUGACAGUUGAGUGUAAAUUAAAAUCUCAAAAAAAUAGUAAUAAUAAUAAUAAAAUCAUAAAUGCACAAUGUAAUAAGCAAAUUCAGAAAUUUAACAAUGCUAAGUAAAUCCCACUAGUAUCUGUUUGGCCCCCAUUUUCGGAAAAUGAAAAUGGGUGGAAUAGUAUUGUUUUUCCAUAAUACAUUUUACCAAAAUUUCUCUUUAAAAUGGAGCUCAAACAAAGGCUAAUUGUUAUAAAACUGUCAACUGUUGAUAGAUACAGAUACAAGAGAUCCACCUAAAAAAAAGCAUAGAUGAGUAACAAGCAAACCUAUGUCAUAAUGUCAAUAACAAAACAAAAUCAGCAAUCCUUUACAGAGUUUUCAUUCACCCCAAAGAUGUUAUACCCUCCUCAUUAGCUUUUAAGAUCCAUGAAGUUAUGAAGGUGAGAGCAUAGGCCAGCCAACAAGUUUAGGUGACCCGGAUGGGGUUGAAGGCUGACUAGGAGUAAAUAGGCUCACAUCCACAAAUGCCCCAGAGGUUUCAUCUUUUACCAUCGUACGAAAAGAUAUCGAUCCACUCCUUUCCAAAGAAGCUGAAUUUCUCCCAGGACUAGUGAGCAUACUUGUUCUGGAAGGGCCUUCAUAAUGAAUUAGUGAAUCAUAUUCAUCAAUAAACCUCAUAGCCUCUAUAUCUCUUUGUAGACUCCUCAAGACUAAAGAAUCUGCAAUGGGGAG